AGUGUCUUCAGCUUUUCCCCGAGGGAGUUCACGUGCUCCUUGAUGUCUGGGCCCUGGCUCUCAGCCUGGGGCAUCACCUCUUCCAGGUAAAACUGGAUCAUCUCUGACAAGGCUUGGCAACCCAGCUCUGCCACUGGAAUCCAGAACUCCAUGUACACCUCUACCAAGGAAACCCUAUCAUCUGUGUGAGAUGGAAUAAGUACUAACACCCAUCUCCUGGUGAUGAGCAGAAACUGGGAUUAAAUGCAUGUCACAGUGUCUGGCCCAUGACAGAAAGAUGAACAAAGAGACUUCAACAAGAGGAGAGCAAGAUCCUGAUGACCAGAGCAUUACAUCCACCAGCAGCUAGCUCACAGUGCUGACACUUGCAUGCACCAAUAUGAUUCUAAGAAGAUAUAGAGGGAGUAUUUGUAUAUGAAUUCAUGUGUUCUUCACCAUCCAUGCACGGAUAUGGACCAGCAAAAACUGAUUAGCUUCUCUAAUACCGAUUCUUGGAAGACAGAGACUAAUGGCUCAGUUCAGGUUAAGUGUCCCCCUCCAAUCAACUACAUCCAGAGGACCAGAGUCAUGUGGCUGCCAAGGUCAUGAGAUCAGACUGGGAAACAUCAUAAAUGCUUUGUCCUCUGUGAAGACACCCACCAAUCGUAAGAAGACUUCAGAAGAAGUCCCCUCUGUCUUGAGUUUCCGUAGCACUUUCUCUCCCCUCUUCUAUGACACUUAUGAUUCCUAUCUUGUGUUGGUAUUGCUUUAGACAUCUUAUCCCUCACUUCACACAUCUAUGUUUCUUGUUUGUUUACCUUCAUAUACCUCAUUGCUUGUGCAAAAAAAAUUGGGCAUGUGCUCAAUAAAUAUUUGAAAUCAUGAUAAUCCCCAAAUAAAUCCAUUUUCAGAAAACUUAAA
Molecule: long non-coding RNA, 900 nt
Organism: Phyllostomus hastatus (greater spear-nosed bat)
Lineage: Eukaryota; Metazoa; Chordata; Mammalia; Chiroptera; Phyllostomidae
Exons: 5
Source: RefSeq, a predicted model, not a curated record